UACGUAGGUGGCAAGCGUUGUCCGGAUUUAUUGGGCGUAAAGCGAGCGCAGGCGGUUUCUUAAGUCUGAUGUGAAAGCCUUCGGCUUAACCGGAGAAGUGCAUCGGAAACUGGGAGACUUGAGUGCAGAAGAGGACAGUGGAACUCCAUGUGUAGCGGUGAAAUGCGUAGAUAUAUGGAAGAACACCAGUGGCGAAGGCGGCUGUCUGGUCUGUAACUGACGCUGAGGCUCGAAAGCAUGGGUAGCGAAC
RNAcentral lists this ribosomal RNA (250 nucleotides) under uncultured bacterium. RNAcentral's name for it is "partial 16S ribosomal RNA". It matches the Rfam family "Bacterial small subunit ribosomal RNA", at positions 524 to 773 of the family's 1533-position model. The record is from RNAcentral.